This is a transfer RNA of Chaetomium globosum CBS 148.51, 85 nucleotides long. It matches the Rfam family "tRNA". From Rfam's summary of the family: Transfer RNA (tRNA) molecules are approximately 80 nucleotides in length. Their secondary structure includes four short double-helical elements and three loops (D, anti-codon, and T loops). The record is from Rfam. NCBI's taxonomy places the organism in Eukaryota, Fungi, Ascomycota, Sordariomycetes, Sordariales, Chaetomiaceae.
GCCUGCUUAGCAUAGUGGCUAAUGCGUUGCACUUGUAUCCAUCGACGACAUGCAAAGAUCACAGGUUCGAUUCCUGUAGUAGGCA